CAGCAGCCACGGUAAUACGGAGGGUGCAAGCGUUAAUCGGAAUUACUGGGCGUAAAGCGCACGCAGGCGGUCUGUCAAGUCGGAUGUGAAAUCCCCGGGCUCAACCUGGGAACUGCAUUCGAAACUGGCAGGCUAGAGUCUUGUAGAGGGGGGUAGAAUUCCAGGUGUAGCGGUGAAAUGCGUAGAGAUCUGGAGGAAUACCGGUGGCGAAGGCGGCCCCCUGGACAAAGACUGACGCUCAGGUGCGAAAGCGUGGGGAGCAAACAGGAUUAGAUACCCCGGUAGUCCCUGUCUCUUAUAA
Molecule: ribosomal RNA, 301 nt
Filed under: uncultured bacterium
Lineage: Bacteria
Description: partial 16S ribosomal RNA
Rfam family: Bacterial small subunit ribosomal RNA
Source: RNAcentral